UGAAUACGAGACGCUAAGGCGUCGAAGUAGUGUAUGUCAUACUUCCAAGAAAAGCUUGCACUGUCAUAGAUAAAAAACGCCUGUACCAUAACCGACACAGGUGGGUAGGUAGAGUAUACUAAGGGGCGCGAGAUAACUCUCUCUAAGGAACUCGGCAAAAUAACUCCGUAACUUCGGGAGAAGGAGUGCCUUAUUCUUAAGGUUGCAAUAACAAGAUCCAAGCAACUGUUUAUCAAAAACACAGGUCUCCGCUAAGUCGUAAGACGAUGUAUGGGGGCUGACGCCUGCCCAGUGCCAGAGGGUUAAAGAAGCUGGUUAGCAUUUGCGAAGCUAGUAACUGAAGCCCUGGUGAACGGCGGCCGUAACUAUAACGGUCCUAAGGUAGCGAAAUUCCUUGUCGGGUAAGUUCCGACCCGCACGAAAGGCGUAAUGAUUUGGAUACUGUCUCGGAGAGGGGCUCGGUGAAAUAGACUUGUCUGUGAAGAUGCGGACUACCUGCACCAGGACAGAAAGACCCUAUGAAGCUUUACUGUAACUUGAAAUUGAAAUUGGACUUUAUUCGCGCAGUAUAGGUGGGAGGCGUUGAUUAUAAUCUUGCGGGAUUAUUGGAGCCAUUAGUGAGAUACCACUCUUGUAAUGUUAGAUUUCUAACUUUGAAUCAUUAUCUGGUCAAAGAACAGUUUCAGGCGGGCAGUUUGACUGGGGCGGUCGCCUCCUAAACGGUAACGGAGGCGUACAAAGGUUUCCUCUGAACGGUUAGAAAUCGUAUCUAGAGUGUAAAGGCAUAAGGAAGCUUGACUGUGAGACCUACAAGUCGAGCAGGGACGAAAGUCGGUCUUAGUGAUCUGACGGUACUGAGUGGAAAGGCCGUCACUCAACGGAUAAAAGUUACUCUAGGAUAACAGGCUGAUCUCCCCCAAGAGUUCACAUCGACGGGGAGGUUUGGCACCUCGAUGUCGGCUCAUCGCAUCCUGGGGCGGUAGUACGUCCCAAGGGUUGGGCUGUUCGCCCAUGAAAGCGGUACGCGAGCUGGGUUCAGAACGUCGUGAGACAGUUCGGUCCAUAUCCGGUGUAGGCGUUAGAAUAUUGAGAGGAGCCUUCUUUAGUACGAGAGGACCGAGAAGGACAUACCUCUGGUGUACCAGUUAUCGUGCCAACGGUAAACGCUGGGUAGCUAUGUAUGGAGUGGAUAACCGCUGAAAGCAUCUAAGUGGGAAGCCCACCUCAAGAUAAGUAUUCUCA
Molecule: ribosomal RNA, 1242 nt
Filed under: metagenome
Description: bacterial LSU rRNA
Rfam family: Bacterial large subunit ribosomal RNA
Source: RNAcentral